UGAAUACGAGACGCUACGGCGUCGAAGCAGUCUAUGUCAUACUUCCAAGAAAAGCUCGCAAUGUCAUAAACAAAUAAUGCCUGUACCAUAACCGACACAGGUGGGUAGGUAGAGUAUACUAAGGGGCGCGAGAUAACUCUCUCUAAGGAACUCGGCAAAAUGACUCCGUAACUUCGGGAGAAGGAGUGCCUUAUUUAUAAGGUUGCAAUAACAAGAUCCAAGCAACUGUUUAUCAAAAACACAGGUCUCCGCUAAGUCGUAAGACGAUGUAUGGGGGCUGACGCCUGCCCAGUGCCAGAAGGUUAAAGAAGUUGGUUAGCAUUCGCGAAGCUGAUAACUGAAGCCCUGGUGAACGGCGGCCGUAACAAUAACGGUCCUAAGGUAGCGAAAUUCCUUGUCGGGUAAGUUCCGACCCGCACGAAAGGCGUAAUGAUUUGGAUACUGUCUCGGAGAGGGGCUCGGUGAAAUAGACUUGUCUGUGAAGAUGCGGACUACCUGCACCUGGACAGAAAGACCCUAUGAAGCUUUACUGUAACUUGAAAUUGAAAUUGGACUUAUUUGCGCAGCAUAGGUGGGAGGCGUUGAGAGUAUUCUUGCGGGAAUAUUGGAGCCAUCAGUGAGAUACCACUCUUGUAAUGUUAGAUUUCUAACUUUGGAUCAUUAUCUGGUCAAAGAACAGUUUCAGGCGGGCAGUUUGACUGGGGCGGUCGCCUCCCAAAUGGUAACGGAGGCGUACAAAGGUUUCCUCUGAACGGGUAGAAAUCGUAUCUAGAGUGUAAAGGCAUAAGGAAGCUUGACUGUGAGACCUACAAGUCGAGCAGGGACGAAAGUCGGUCUUAGUGAUCUGACGGUGCUGAGUGGAAAGGCCGUCACUCAACGGAUAAAAGUUACUCUAGGAUAACAGGCUGAUCUCCCCCAAGAGUUCACAUCGACGGGGAGGUUUGGCACCUCGAUGUCGGCUCAUCGCAUCCUGGGGCGGUAGUACGUCCCAAGGGUUGGGCUGUUCGCCCAUGAAAGCGGUAUGCGAGCUGGGUUCAGAACGUCGUGAGACAGUUCGGUCCAUAUCCGGUGUAGGCGUUAGAAUAUUGAGAGGAGCCUUCUUUAGUACGAGAGGACCGAGAAGGACAUACCUCUGGUGUACCAGUUAUCGUGCCAACGGUAAACGCUGGGUAGCUAUGUAUGGAGAGGAUAACCGCUGAAAGCAUCUAAGUGGGAAGCCCACCUCAAGAUAAGUAUUCUCA
Molecule: ribosomal RNA, 1241 nt
Filed under: metagenome
Description: bacterial LSU rRNA
Rfam family: Bacterial large subunit ribosomal RNA
Source: RNAcentral